RNAcentral lists this ribosomal RNA (465 nucleotides) under Vreelandella stevensii. RNAcentral describes it as "partial 16S ribosomal RNA". It matches the Rfam family "Bacterial small subunit ribosomal RNA", at positions 338 to 795 of the family's 1533-position model. The record is from RNAcentral. Lineage: Bacteria; Pseudomonadati; Pseudomonadota; Gammaproteobacteria; Oceanospirillales; Halomonadaceae.
CCUACGGGUGGCUGCAGUGGGGAAUAUUGGACAAUGGGGGCAACCCUGAUCCAGCCAUGCCGCGUGUGUGAAGAAGGCCCUCGGGUUGUAAAGCACUUUCAGUGAGGAAGAACGCCUGGUGGUUAAUACCCAUCAGGAAAGACAUCACUCACAGAAGAAGCACCGGCUAACUCCGUGCCAGCAGCCGCGGUAAUACGGAGGGUGCGAGCGUUAAUCGGAAUUACUGGGCGUAAAGCGCGCGUAGGUGGCUUGAUAAGCCGGUUGUGAAAGCCCCGGGCUCAACCUGGGAACGGCAUCCGGAACUGUCAAGCUAGAGUGCAGGAGAGGAAGGUAGAAUUCCCGGUGUAGCGGUGAAAUGCGUAGAGAUCGGGAGGAAUACCAGUGGCGAAGGCGGCCUUCUGGACUGACACUGACACUGAGGUGCGAAAGCAUGGGUAGCAAACAGGAUUAGAUACCCUUGUAGUC